RNAcentral lists this ribosomal RNA (209 nucleotides) under uncultured bacterium. Its description in RNAcentral is "partial 16S ribosomal RNA". It matches the Rfam family "Bacterial small subunit ribosomal RNA", at positions 122 to 334 of the family's 1533-position model. The record is from RNAcentral.
UGACCUGCCCUGGAGUGGGGAAUAACUCUGCGAAAGCAGAGCUAAUACCGCAUUCGCUUACUUCAUCAUCGGAGUAAGUAAAGCUCAAUGCGCUUCAGGAGGGGCUUGCGGCCGAUUAGCUAGUCGGUGGGGUAAUGGCCUACCGAGGCGACAAUCGGUAGCUGGUCUGAGAGGAUGACCAGCCACACUGGGACUGAGACACGGCCCAG